This 334-nucleotide long non-coding RNA is filed under the name Danio rerio (zebrafish). RNAcentral's name for it is "lncRNA si:ch211-15l16.3 (ENSDARG00000100470.2)". Lineage: Eukaryota; Metazoa; Chordata; Actinopteri; Cypriniformes; Danionidae. The record is from RNAcentral.
ACCGACCAAAAACUCAACGGGGCAGCCGCAUGCUACACCGCCACAUCAUUUUCCCAAGAGCCUGUGCCCCGAUGAGACCACUGGCUCGGUAAUGAGUUGUUUGCAGACCUCAAGAACACAGUGAUGAUGACCUGUGACCUCCAAGCACACUGUCUGGGGAGCAUGAGAAGUGAAACGACCUGUGUGCCUGCAAACAAUGAGAGGCCUUCAGCGGUCGAGAGGUGACAGUUUCAACAGAAAGCCGCAAGGGGAAUCAAUACAGUGCAAACUACAAUUUCACUGUCCGAUCAUCGACCAUCAGCCCUGGCCGAUCGGAUGAUACCCUGGCUGGUUG